AGAGCGUUUAUGAAGGAAUAUAGGUCGGCAUGGUCAAUCUGGACAGGAUUUUGGGUCAGCCAAAAAAAAAAGGAUGAAUUGAAAUCCCGCACGAUCCUCCAUUCAAAACUCGCGCCCUCUAGAUCAUCAAGCAAGAAGCAACAGUGUUCAAUGUGAUAGUGGUGAGCGGUGUAGCGUGGAUGUGUGCGUCCGUCAAUCUUUCGCAGCUACGCCUUUCCGUGAGGCGGCUGGAGCAGGAAAUCGCCGAGCCGUGCUGCAGAGAGGAAAGGAUGGCAGGUGGUGCCGCGGUGAACACUCCCAACACAUGCAGGAGGAAAGAAAGGAUGGCAGGUGGUGCCGCGGUGAACACUCCCAACACAUGCAGGAGGAAAGAAAGGAUGGCAGGUGGUGCCGCGGUGAACACUCCCAACACAUGCAGGAGGAAAGUGAGUACCUGCUUCAUUACAUCAUGUGCCCUCUAUUUUGAUCUCGCUGUUAAACUUUUUUUUUUUUAUUCAUGUCAACGGAAACCUGUCACUGUUGCCUGCCUUUCUCCUGUCAGCUUCCCACGAAUCUGUGAAGGAAAGAAAGGAUGUGCUUCCAUGGUAUC
Molecule: long non-coding RNA, 589 nt
Organism: Scylla paramamosain (green mud crab)
Lineage: Eukaryota; Metazoa; Arthropoda; Malacostraca; Decapoda; Portunidae
Exons: 4
Source: RefSeq, a predicted model, not a curated record